UCCUACGGGAGGCAGCAGUGAGGAAUAUUGCGCAAUGGGCGAAAGCCUGACGCAGCAACGCCGCGUGGAUGAUGAAGUUCUUCGGAAUGUAAAAUCCUUUUGCAGAGGAAGAAUAUCCCGAUUUAUCGG
Molecule: ribosomal RNA, 129 nt
Filed under: uncultured Chlorobium sp.
Lineage: Bacteria; Pseudomonadati; Chlorobiota; Chlorobiia; Chlorobiales; Chlorobiaceae
Description: partial 16S ribosomal RNA
Rfam family: Bacterial small subunit ribosomal RNA
Source: RNAcentral